AUGCUCACACCAGCCCACUGCCCCCAGGACAUGUUCCUCAUGAUCUGGCACCACAAAACCACCAUCUUCACAGACACCAAGGAGUUGAGCACCAUGUUCGAGCUGAAGCGCAUUGUUGAGGGCAUCCUCAAGCAGACCCCUGACAAGCAGCAGAUAUACAAGGACAACCAGCUCCUGGAUGAUGGCAAGAUGCUGGGUGAAUGUGGAUUCACCAGCCAAACAGCACAGCCACAGGCCCCAGCCACAGUGGGGCUGGUCUUCUGGGCAGAUGAUGCCUCUGAGGUCCUGCACAUCGAGCCCUUCUCCAGCCCACCUGAGCUGCCCAAUGUGAUGAAACUGCAGGACUCAGGAAGCAGCACCAAUGAACAACCUGUGCAGUGA
Galeopterus variegatus (Sunda flying lemur) is the source of this 381-nucleotide RNA transcript. It is a transcript of the gene named transcription elongation factor B polypeptide 2 pseudogene, with no coding region annotated. The record is from RefSeq and is a predicted model, not a curated record. The transcript has a single exon. Lineage: Eukaryota; Metazoa; Chordata; Mammalia; Dermoptera; Cynocephalidae.